Long non-coding RNA from Benincasa hispida (wax gourd), 1514 nucleotides. RefSeq lists it as uncharacterized. The record is from RefSeq and is a predicted model, not a curated record. Lineage: Eukaryota; Viridiplantae; Streptophyta; Magnoliopsida; Cucurbitales; Cucurbitaceae.
UCUUACUAAACCCUCUCUACUCCUUAGCGUGGCCAUGCGAAUCACUUUCGAUCGUCAUCAUCACCGGUGUUGCUUGGAUCUCCAUCGUCAUGGGCUUCUUCCAGUGGUGGGUCAUCGUCAUGGGUGUUCUCUGGUUGGUUUUCGUCGUCGCGUAGGUGUUCUUCGGUUGGUUUUUGUCGUCGCAUGGGCGUUGUUCUUCUGUUUGUUCUUUCGAUGGCUAUUCGUCAUUGUUGUUCUUCUGGUGGUUCAGCUCGCCGUUCGUCUAGCUUAUUCCGGUCGUGGAGGUGGGUUGUUGGCGUAGAUCUAUAGAUUUAGUUGUGGGCUUUUCCUAUCCGAUCAUCUAUUUGCUCAAUCUACUCGUGGGUCUUCCGAUCCGGUCGUUGGCGUUGUAUUUUUGUUAGAUCUGUCGUCUCAACUCUGUUCACAAGGUCCGGUGCUCGCCAGUGUUCCAAUUUUUGAGCUCUGGUUCGGAUCUCUUCAAGUUUGUGGGUUGUUUAAGUUGUUUGCUUGGAAAGUUCAAAUCGGCAUCUUCGAGAAGCACACAGAAGCAUUGUUUGGUAGACCAGAAAUUGCUAUAACACCUCAAGGAACCAUCGAUCCCUCCAAAGAUGAACAGUUGAAGAUUAGCUUUGGUGGUAUGAAGGGAUUGGUUUUAGAAGCUGUCACUUUUGGUUCUUUCCUCUGGGAUGUUGAAAGCUAUGUGGAUUCAAGGCCCAAGUUGCUGAGAAGACCAAUCCAAAUGAAAGGGUAGGUGAAACGAAAGACUCAGAAUGAGCCAUGCCUCUCAAUCUUCCUUACUACACAUGUGAACAAAGAAAAGAAUCGAGCAUGCAAAUGGAAGAAAAGAAAGAGGAAGAAGAGACCAACAAUAGCAUGUACGUGGUUCGGCAAAAUGAUGCCUACAUCCACGGGAAGGAAGAAUCGUUUAUUGAAGACCUUACAAAGAUAAGUUUGUAUUUUCUUUACAGACCGUAUACUAAAACAGAAUGAUCAAGUUAUUUUUCGAUUUGAAUGUAACCUAUAUAUAUAUGAUUACAUAUUUGUUAUGAAGUCUGUUUAGAAAAUAAAAACUAGUCGUUGAGCUAUUUGAGAUUAAAUUUUUUGAAAUCUCCACCUUAAUCUCAACUUUGAAGCCUUCUACCUUCCAGUUCUGACUAUCGAUUACCCAUUUUCAGGUAACAUGAAGUCAAACUGAUCAAGACACUUGCUGAGCUUGAGCUUCGAGACAGGUUUGGUAAGCAUGUCUGCUACGUUCUCCGAGAUCGAAACAAGCUCGGUCAGCUGCAGAAAUUGGAAGUUCAGCUACUGCCCUCGCAACGUUGUUGCGUUGUUCAUAGAGUGUUACAAUGCUCUUCAUCCUGGAGCCCGAGGUGUUGUAAUGCUGAGAUGCAGCGUCAUGACGCUGUUCAUCCCAGUCCAAAAAGACGCAUGCAUUCGUGAGCUGCUUCGUAGGUUUGGUUGGUUUCUAGUCCAGUUCAACCCACUUUGGUCCAGUUCAGCCUCAUUUGGAGCUU